GGACGGUUAGCUCAGUUGGUUAGACCGUGGUGCUGAUAACACCAAGGUCACGGGUUCAAUCCCUGUUCGGUCCC
Apaloderma vittatum (bar-tailed trogon) is the source of this 74-nucleotide non-coding RNA. Lineage: Eukaryota; Metazoa; Chordata; Aves; Trogoniformes; Trogonidae. The record is from Rfam.